Molecule: ribosomal RNA, 510 nt
Filed under: earthworm cast bacterium C21M1
Lineage: Bacteria
Description: bacterial SSU rRNA
Rfam family: Bacterial small subunit ribosomal RNA
Source: RNAcentral
CGAGUGGCGAACGGGUGAGUAAUACAUCGGAACGUGCCCAAUCGUGGGGGAUAACGCAGCGAAAGCUGUGCUAAUACCGCAUACGAUCUACGGAUGAAAGCAGGGGACCGCAAGGCCUUGCGCGAAUGGAGCGGCCGAUGGCAGAUUAGGUAGUUGGUGAGGUAAAGGCUCACCAAGCCUUCGAUCUGUAGCUGGUCUGAGAGGACGACCAGCCACACUGGGACUGAGACACGGCCCAGACUCCUACGGGAGGCAGCAGUGGGGAAUUUUGGACAAUGGGCGCAAGCCUGAUCCAGCCAUGCCGCGUGCAGGAUGAAGGCCUUCGGGUUGUAAACUGCUUUUGUACGGAACGAAACGGCUCUUUCUAAUAAAGAGGGCUAAUGACGGUACCGUAAGAAUAAGCACCGGCUAACUACGUGCCAGCAGCCGCGGUAAUACGUAGGGUGCAAGCGUUAAUCGGAAUUACUGGGCGUAAAGCGUGCGCAGGCGGUGAUGUAAGACAGUUGUGAA